Molecule: ribosomal RNA, 721 nt
Filed under: uncultured bacterium
Lineage: Bacteria
Description: bacterial SSU rRNA
Rfam family: Bacterial small subunit ribosomal RNA
Source: RNAcentral
GAUUAGAAGCUUGCUUCUAUGACGUUAGCGGCGGACGGGUGAGUAACACGUGGGCAACCUGCCUGUAAGACUGGGAUAACUUCGGGAAACCGAAGCUAAUACCGGAUAGGAUCUUCUCCUUCAUGGGAGAUGAUUGAAAGAUGGUUUCGGCUAUCACUUACAGAUGGGCCCGCGGUGCAUUAGCUAGUUGGUGAGGUAACGGCUCACCAAGGCAACGAUGCAUAGCCGACCUGAGAGGGUGAUCGGCCACACUGGGACUGAGACACGGCCCAGACUCCUACGGGAGGCAGCAGUAGGGAAUCUUCCGCAAUGGACGAAAGUCUGACGGAGCAACGCCGCGUGAGUGAUGAAGGCUUUCGGGUCGUAAAACUCUGUUGUUAGGGAAGAACAAGUACGAGAGUAACUGCUCGUACCUUGACGGUACCUAACCAGAAAGCCACGGCUAACUACGUGCCAGCAGCCGCGGUAAUACGUAGGUGGCAAGCGUUAUCCGGAAUUAUUGGGCGUAAAGCGCGCGCAGGCGGUUUCUUAAGUCUGAUGUGAAAGCCCACGGCUCAACCGUGGAGGGUCAUUGGAAACUGGGGAACUUGAGUGCAGAAGAGAAAAGCGGAAUUCCACGUGUAGCGGUGAAAUGCGUAGAGAUGUGGAGGAACACCAGUGGCGAAGGCGGCUUUUUGGUCUGUAACUGACGCUGAGGCGCGAAAGCGUGGGGAGCAAACAG